GAUGAAGAACGUAGUGAACUGCGAUAAGUAAUGUGAAUUGCAGAAUUCAGUGAAUCAUCGAGUCUUUGAACGCACAUUGCGCCCCCUGGCAUUCCGGGGGGCAUGCCUGUCCGAGCGUCAUUGCUGCCCUUCAAGCCCGGCUUGUGUGUUGGGUCGUCGUCCCCCCCGGGGGACGGGCCCGAAAGGCAGCGGCGGCACCGCGUCCGGUCCUCGAGCGUAUGGGGCUUUGUCACCCGCUCGAUUAGGGCCGGCCGGGCGCCAGCCGGCGUCUCCAACCUUCUAUUUUACCAGGUUGACCUCGGAUCAGGUAGGGAUACCCGCUGAACUUAAGUAUAUCAAUAAGCGGAGGA
RNAcentral lists this unclassified non-coding RNA (350 nucleotides) under soil metagenome. RNAcentral describes it as "partial contains 5.8S ribosomal RNA, internal transcribed spacer 2, and large subunit ribosomal RNA". The stretch from base 1 to 120 matches the Rfam family "5.8S ribosomal RNA", at positions 35 to 154 of the family's 154-position model. The record is from RNAcentral.